GCGGGCGUGGCGGAAUGGCAGACGCGCUAGACUUAGGAUCUAGUGCCAUAUGGCGUAUGAGUUCAAGUCUCUUCGCCCGCA
RNAcentral lists this transfer RNA (81 nucleotides) under Oscillospiraceae bacterium. Its description in RNAcentral is "tRNA-Leu". It matches the Rfam family "tRNA". From Rfam's summary of the family: Transfer RNA (tRNA) molecules are approximately 80 nucleotides in length. Their secondary structure includes four short double-helical elements and three loops (D, anti-codon, and T loops). Lineage: Bacteria; Bacillati; Bacillota; Clostridia; Eubacteriales; Oscillospiraceae. The record is from RNAcentral.